Molecule: long non-coding RNA, 6275 nt
Filed under: Homo sapiens (human)
Lineage: Eukaryota; Metazoa; Chordata; Mammalia; Primates; Hominidae
Description: HSALNT0141377
Source: RNAcentral
CCUGUACCCAGAGUUUACAAGAGUACAGGAGAAAAUGCAGGGAGGGUAAACUGUACCUGCACAGCAAGGAGUUCAGAUCUUCCACCAUAGCAAACCCAGUCAAAGGUUUUUGAACAGGGAGUAAUGUGAACCGAGUUAUAAUUUUUAAAUGUCUUUUGGAGAGCUGUGGGUAAGGAUGUACUAGAAGAAGAAAGCUGGCUGUAGAGACCAGGACGGAGGCUUUCACAGCAGCUCAAGUGUUGGGAAGAAUGAGCGGGAGGAAAUGUGCAGGAGGGCUUAGAUGGUCAUUCAUUCCAUGUUGGAGAACAGAGGGCAGGGAGUGGGCGCUGAAGACGCAACAUUUGGGGACUGCAUGACGAGGAGGUUGGUGGUAUCCCUCUAAAGGACAGGGAAGGCAGAGGGAAGUAGGGGGAAGUGUGCAUGCUGAUCUGCGAGUGAAGUCCAGGACGCAGUUAGACUAGAUACUUGGGAGUCACUGUGUGUAGGGCAGAGCUAAAGCCACGAGAUAAGGCAAGAUGGACAAAGACCACCGCAUGGAGGAAGAAGAGAGGAAGGCCGGGAGAAGACUGUUCGUGGCCCCCAGGACCCAUUCUCCCACCUUCAUGUUAGUGAUAAGUCUCCCUAGUUUGAAAUAGGCACAUGGACACCCGACUUGAGCUUCCCUUGCACCUUUGUGUGGUCAUGUGACCAAGUUCUGGCCAAUGGGAUGUGAGUGGAAGUGAUGACAUGCAACUUCUAGGUCAUGUCCUUUGAAAAGGAGGCUGCCUUCUUUCUCCCCAUUCUUUUUCCCCCUGCGACAGUUUAUAACAUUGACACGGUGCUGGUACGGCAGUCCUCAGCAUGAAAAUGAGGAUACCACCUAGGAAUGGUGGUAGAGCAGGACAGGACGAACCGGGGCACCGCCCUGGACUGCCUGCGUAGCUCCAGACUAGCAAGUGGAGGAAAAAUAAACUUCUUUCUCGUUGGAGCACUGUUGUUGAUUAAUUUGGGGAGGGGUUGUCUUUUUGUCACAGCAGCUAAGCCUGUAUCCUACGUACUACUUAUACUAAUACUGAAAAUUUCUAUUGGGAAUAAAAUCCUGGGGGAUGCCAGCACUCGGGAGACACAAGUGGGAAAAAUGGAAACACAAAAGGAAAAGAGAAAAACCAAAGAAGUGAACUAUCAGAGAAUCCGAAGCAAGACAGCAAGGAAACCAGAAGGCAAACAGUGCUGAAUGCAGCAUAAGCAUCCACAUAAACGAAGAUUAUCAAGAGACUCUGAUUUGGCCAGUAUUUCAGCAGAUCAAGGGGGACUUAAAUCAGGCAAAGGAGUUUACACCAGAAUGGAGAUGAAGAAAUGGGCACUCAGGGAGGAGAAACAUCUCGGCCAAAGCCACACAACUAUUCCCGGGUGAAGUCUGGAUUGCGUUGCUCUUCCCUCUGGUGAACUCCUGAGGGCAGGAAGGUGUUGGGUAAGUCUCUAAAACCCCACAGCACCUGGCUGGCACAUCAAAGCCCUCAGAACCUGCAGAGUCUGAAAGAAGAGGGUGUGACCAUAUGGAAACAGGGAGAAAGAUCUAGAAAUCACCAGAGCCCUGUGAGUGCACUGCGGGCUGGUGGAUAGAAUUCAUGGUCUAUGGGAUCAUUACUGCCCUUUUGACUGCUGAUUUUGUAACUGCAGGACCAGCCCAAAUUGGGCCUACUCUGUUGAUAACAGAAUGUCAAGUUACCUUGUAGGCAUAACAGAGCCAAGACUGCAAGUCAUGCAGCCCAGGCAUGCACAAAAGAAAAAGCUUUGACCUCUAAUGACACCUGGAACACAUGACUCCUGCCUGUGGAACCAAGAAGACUGGGACAUGAGUGGAACUUGACCACAGGAACUCUUUCAGAAGCAAGGGGUCCGUUGGAAGGAAGAUCCAGGACUAUAAUCCACCCCAACAUACCUUACCAUAAAUGGGCCAAUCUGAAGCCCUCCAAUCAGACCCUGCCAAUCCAUCAUUCCCGAAUCUUUUCCUUUGCCCUCUGACCCCUUAAAACUUGCCCCAGACCCCAAAUCAAGGAGACAGACUUGAGCCUAUCUCUUUGCUGCCUGGCUACACGAUAAAGCCUUUCUUUUCUUAAAAGCUGUGGCCACAGUACUGGCUACCAUGAGCAUCGGGCAGCAAGCCCAUUGGCUCAAUAACAUUUUUACUUUGCAAUUCUUAGCUCAGGCCCAGUCCCAGAGAUUGAAGCCUACAAGGAGCUGAGACACGGUGGGAGCAGGGAGGGAGGAGAAGGUGAUCCAGGGACUUACCAGGAUAUGAUAUAUCAUCGUAGGUAUGACUGAGUACAUGCCUACUUUUGUCUGUGGAGGUUGACAGAAUUAUUUUAUUUCAUGCUCUCAAAACACAGCAAGACCACAUCCUUUGCUAUAGUUAAGAAAAGGAAGCCUCAGAGAUGUUUGUUAUUCAUCCAAGGAGCAAGAAAAUCUUUUUUUAGCCCCCUUUAUAAACAUAUUUCCCAAUUUUAAAUAUAUAUGUAUUUUUAAGUGAAUGAGAAGCAAAGAACUGGAGCAUGUGGGGACUUCCUGUGGAGUUUUACUGAGAACUGUGGCUGAAUGCAGCAAGGGGUUGAGGAAGGAUUUGUCUUGUUUUGGUUUUGCUUGGUAAAGGAAGGAAGCAUCAGGUUUUCAUGCUGCUGGGAAUGAUCUAACAGAGAGAGAGAGCGAAAAUGAUGAGACAGGAGAGGGAGGGCAGUCUUAGGGCCUGUAGCUCUGGGAGAAGCAGAGGAGACAGAACAGAGGCCUUGGCAAGGCUGAGGGCAUCAGGGGCCCCUUCAUGUGAAGCCAGUGGAAUGCAGGGGCUUGCAGGAAGCCAGCUUUUUCUUCCUCCCCACUGCCUUUUCACCCAUGGUGUGGGCUGCUUCCUCUCUGGCUGAGUGAGGUCUUUUUUUUUUUUUUUUGAGACAGAGUCUUGCCGUGUCACCCAGGCUGGAGUGCAGUGGUGCAAUCUCAGCUUACUGCAAGCUCCGCCUCCCGGGUUCACGCCAUUCUCCUGCCUCAGCCUCCCGAGUAGCUGGGACUACAGGCGCCCACCACCAUGCCCGGCUAAUUUUUUGUAUUUUUAGUAGAGACGGGGUUUCACCGUGUUAGCCACGUUGGUCUUGAUCUCCUGACUUCGUGAUCUGCCCGCCUUGGCCUCCCAAAGUGCUGGGAUUACAGGCGUGAGCCACUGUGCCUGGCCCUGCCUCCCAGGUUCUAAGUGACAGCACCAUGCCCGGCUAAUUUUGUAUUUUUAGUAGAGACAGGGUUUUACCAUGUUGGCCAGACUGGUCUCGAACUCCUGACCUCAGGUGAUCCACUCACCUCGGCCUCCCAAAGUGCUGGGAUUACAGGCGUGAGCCACCGCACCGAGCCUUGUCCGUAUGAGGUCUAGGGCAGAUUCUACAGCUUUUCAGCUUAUUUUGGGUAAAAACAAACAAACAAACAAACAAACAAAAAAGUCCAGUCCAGACUGACAAGGAAAUCCCGAAUCCUGGUUCAAUUUGAAAGCUCUUCCCUCCUCAGCUUGGAACGGCCUUGUACACAGUGAAAGAGGAAAUGUGGCUACCUCUCUCUCUCCCUUCGCUCCCCUCUCCCAUCCACUAGCUGCUGGCUUGGGGUUGUGCGGGUGGAAGGGAGGUGGCUGACGGGCAGGAAAGGCGUUUCUUGAAUCCCUACAGUCCUUACUUGGCAUGGGGCAGAUGCACCAUCCCUGAUUCUUCAAGAACCAUUUGGGUGAGUGCUUCAGAGCCUCCCAUCGCUGGGCAUUGGCCCCCAGUUUCUUGCUCACAAUCAUACAAGUCAAGUGUGAGCCAUGGGCCAGCAGCAUUGCAUCACUUGUUGGAAUAGAGAUGCCAGGUGCGGCGACAUGUACCUGUAGUCCCAGCUACUGGGGAGGCUGAGGCAGAAGGAUAGCUUGAGCCUAGAGUUCAAGACCAGUCUGGAUGACAUAGCAAGACCCUAUCUCAAAAUAAAAACAGCAAAGAAAUGGAGACUCUUAGGCUCACCCACCCCUGUUGAGUGAGGAUCUGCAUUUCCACAAGCCCCCCAGGAGUGUGACGCACAGUCAGGUCUAAAGCUCUGCCUCACACUCCCAGAGCCAGAGCCUUACAGUCACACACAGGCAACUCAACUUACAUAGCUCUGCAUACAAUGGAAUAAAAUAGAACCUUGUGAAAGACAGUGAUAGUUAACAUCCAGGCCGUGCAGCUCCCUAAGAAGACAGAGUCACCAAAAGGCAAAGGGCAAGUAAGGCUGACAUCUGGAAGCCCAGGCCAGCCAGCAGCCCGCCUGCAUCUUGAAGGGGGAUAAUAAUAGCAUCAACCUCUGAGGGCUACUGUAAGGAUGAGAAAAGAGAAAGCAUGCCACACUGACAGUUUCGGCCUGGCAUAGAGCUAGUUCUUGGUCAUGGUUACCCGUGGAAAACCUUUUCAAGUGGAUGACCUUUGUCCUUCCAUGUUUCUUCCAUCACAAGAAAGAAGUUUCGGGAAAGUUUCAGGCAAGUCCUAGAAAAAUUUAAAAUUCCUUCCAGUUAGUUACUGUCCUCACCCAAUGAAGAAGUGCCACUUAGGGCAUGGUGUCUUAUGCCUGUAAUCCCAGCACUUUGAGAGGCUGAGAAGAGAGGACCUCUUGAGGCCAGGAGGUCGGGGCUGCAGAGAGCUGUGAUCACGCCACUGCAAUCCAGGUGUGGACGACAGAACGAGACCUUGUCUCAAAACAAACAAACAAACAAACAAAAAACCCCAACCCCCGCACUCCUCACCCCCCUAAAAAAAAACCCAGCGCCACCACCACUCCAUGAGAGAUGUCAUCCAGGAGCAGACAUUAGGCUUAGUUUAUAAACACUUGGCAAAACUGUGGCGGCCGUAAGGAAGCAUCCCUCUCCUCCAACUGCAGGGAGCGGCAUUGACCCACUACCCCAGCUGCCCUGCCGAAAUCCCUCGCCUGUUCACACCGACGCCAUGCCUCCCAUAGGCUACUUCCGGCCAAUGACAGGGCUCGGCAGGGGUUUGGGAGCGGGCCUAUUGUUGGGGGCGUGGCCCCCUCUGACAGGUGUCUGGCUGGAGAACUCCCUGACAGCCGCGCCAACCCUGCCCUAGGCUGCGGGGCCUGCCUUUCCUCCCUCUGUCCUUCACUGGGCAUCAGAUCUGGCCUGGAGCCACGCUCUCUCAGCGUGUCUUCUGGCUCCCUCCCAGGCUUCUCUCACAGAUGUUUCUCCUAAUUUCUUGCCUAUUUCGUCUUGUCUUGCAUCUGCUUCUGGGAAGACCCGGCCAACUCUGCCCUUUCAAUGGGCUCAUUUUUCAUAGCUUGUCAUUUAGAUAGCAAAUAUUAGUUCAACUCACUUCCUGUAUUUAAGCUGUGAAAUGCAACAUAUAAGGAUAAAUGUUUUAAGUAUAACUGUUAAGACUUCUCCCUAACGGAAAGCGUUAACUCUUGUUUUAACUGCAGUGUAACUUUUUUUUCCCCUGAAUCUGGCACCUGCUACCAUUCAGGCUGAGCUUUUAAACUCUCAAGUGGCUGUUGAGUUCCGUUAUGGCUCUUAAUUCUCCCUAGAAACUCUGAACUACUUAGGAACAAAACAGCAGUGGCAUUAAAAAAAAUACAUCAGCAAUGUAAUGACAUUAAAAGGAAUCUGGAAGAUACAGGAAGAUAAUUCCCAUAAUACCAUUGUUCUAACACAACAGCUGCCAUUUCGGGGGCGCAUUCAUGUCCAUCCCCUCUCACUUCCUGCUCUUUCCAGAACCCCUUUUUUUCUAGAGGGUUAUUUGCAGACCUGCCUGUGUUAGGCAUGGGCCACCAGCUCUCAGCCCUAGACGCACAUCAGAAUCACUUAAAAAUCACUGAGGGCUGGCCCUGAGCUGGAUCUUCUCUAAACUGCAUCUUUUCUUCCUUUUUAGAGUCCAGAUGCAGAAUUGACUUGAUCAGACCUGUCAGUACAUAGCACCUUACCAUCACCAGUGCAUUCCUAGUGCCCAUCUUUUUAUUUUAUGUAUUAUUUUUGACCUCUUCAUCCUUCCACUCCCAGCCCCCAGCUAUGGGUACCCCACGGGUUUGCGAUAUGUUCGUUUUUUUUUGAAAUGGAGUCUCGUUCUGUCACCCAGGCUGGAGUGCAGUGGCGCAAUCUCGGCUCACUGCAACCUCCGCCUCCUGGCUUCAAGGAUUCUCCUGCACCAGCCUCCUGAGUAGCUGGGAUUAUAGGCGCCACCAAGCCCAGCUAAUUUUUGUAUUUUUAGUAGAGACGGGGUUUCGCCAUGUUGGCCAGGCUGGUCUCAAACUCC